Molecule: ribosomal RNA, 484 nt
Filed under: uncultured bacterium
Lineage: Bacteria
Description: partial 16S ribosomal RNA
Rfam family: Bacterial small subunit ribosomal RNA
Source: RNAcentral
AUUGAACGCUGGCGGCAGGCCUAACACAUGCAAGUCGAGCGGAUGAAGGGAGCUUGCUCCUGGAUUCAGCGGCGGACGGGUGAGUAAUGCCUAGGAAUCUGCCUGGUAGUGGGGGAUAACGUCCGGAAACGGGCGCUAAUACCGCAUACGUCCUGAGGGAGAAAGUGGGGGAUCUUCGGACCUCACGCUAUCAGAUGAGCCUAGGUCGGAUUAGCUAGUUGGUGGGGUAAAGGCCUACCAAGGCGACGAUCCGUAACUGGUCUGAGAGGAUGAUCAGUCACACUGGAACUGAGACACGGUCCAGACUCCUACGGGAGGCAGCAGUGGGGAAUAUUGGACAAUGGGCGAAAGCCUGAUCCAGCCAUGCCGCGUGUGUGAAGAAGGUCUUCGGAUUGUAAAGCACUUUAAGUUGGGAGGAAGGGCAGUAAGUUAAGAUCUUGCUGUUUUGACGGUACCAACAGAAUAAGCACCGGCUAACUUCGUG